CCCUUAGAUGUUCUGGGCCGCACGCGUGCUACACUGACGCAUACAGCGAGCACUUUCCAGUUCCGAGAGGCUACUGGUAAUCAUCAAUAUGCGUCGUGAUGGGGAUAGAUCUUUGGAAUUCUGGAUCUUGAACGAGGAAUGCCUAGUAAUCGCAGGUCAUUAGCCUGCGAUGAUUAAGUCCCUGCCCUUUGUACACACCGCCCGUCGCUACUACCGAUUUCGAGUGGUCAGGUGAAUCUUUCGGACUGUGGGCGCCCUUGAGGUGUUCGCGGAAAGUCAGGUAAAUCUUAUCACUUAGAGGAAGUAAAANUCGUANCA
This 318-nucleotide ribosomal RNA is filed under the name uncultured eukaryote. RNAcentral's name for it is "partial 18S ribosomal RNA". It matches the Rfam family "Eukaryotic small subunit ribosomal RNA", at positions 1470 to 1796 of the family's 1831-position model. The record is from RNAcentral.